RNAcentral lists this unclassified non-coding RNA (579 nucleotides) under Hevea brasiliensis (rubber tree). The record is from RNAcentral. Lineage: Eukaryota; Viridiplantae; Streptophyta; Magnoliopsida; Malpighiales; Euphorbiaceae.
GGUGCCCCUAAGCAUUCCAUACCUGUCAAGUUCAAAAGAAGUGGACAAAUGAGAUCACUUUAACCUGAUUCAUUAAAAAAAACAAAUAUAAACCAUUUAUUUGCACGUAUAGUUCAGUGGAUCUGAUACAAAAACCUACACAGAUUACCAAGAAGAAACUGAUAACAUUUGCGGAUGAAAGCUAGAAGGCCAUAUAAGGGAGGACCCAUGGCAGUCAGUCACUCACUAUAGUUAAAAAGCUCUCCACUCAGAAAAAAUAUUCAUAGGACAGAGAAAUCCAGAAGUUACCAUUGAAUGAACAACAAACAGAUCAACACCUUCUGUGUUUAAUUUAUUGUAGAGUUAUAUGGACAACUGGUGAACUAAAUUGAGUUUUCAGUACCACGCAUAGUCCCCCCUUCUAUAUUUGUCAAUCCAAAACACAGAUAGCCAUGAUGAUAUGGUUAAUUCUCCAGAUGCAACCCCAGUUAAAUUCAGUUUUCACCAGUAUAUUUUGCUUGUGUAAAUUGACAAAGAGAGUUGUUCAUAUCCAUCAAGACGGUACUACAAUUCUUGAUACCUUGCUUCCAUGCUGGAGUC